UUUAAUAAUCUGGAGCUAAAAAUUUAGAUCAGAAGGGUUGAAGCAGGAAAACUGUUUCUGGGCUAAAACCAAAAUUUUUUGAGCUAAAAAUUUUAAGUUUUAGCGCAAGGGUUGGAGAUGGUCUAAGUGACACUACCCCUAAAAUUCUCACAGUGAAAAAUCAGACGUAAUCAUCCCGAUUAUUCCUCAUAUAUAGUUGUAAAAUUCUUUUCUUUUCUUUUUUAGAGUUUUAUCUAUUCAAUAAUUUUUAUUUUUUGUGCUGUGGUGGUUGUCUGAUAAAGCUUUUGUGGUUCAGCAAAAAGUGUUGGCCACCCUUUUCUAAGCGCAUAUUUGGAUUCACUUGGGACCAACUUCUCGUCCGGUGCAAAUUUUGCCACUGCAGCUUCCACAAUCAGGCUGCCCAAUAGCGUUAUACCAAGUGGUGGAUUUAGCCCUUUCUUCCUUGAUAUUCAGUACAUGCAGUUCAUGCAAUUCAAAUCCAGAUCACGACUCAUAAGGCAAAGAGGUAAACUACUAAAACUUGAAUGUGUUGCUGUAUCAAUGCGUGUUCCAAUUUGGAUUAAUAUCUACUGAUCAAGUUAAUAACCACUUCUUUGAUAAAAGCAACAUUUACAUGAGUGGAACCCAUAUAAGUAGGAUUCCCCCUUUUUUGGUGGUUAGUAUAUGUCGUACAAACACAAUUACAGAUAAUGACUAGGGUUUUGGAACGAAAUUUUGUUUUUUGAGCUUUGGGCAUGUUUACAUAUAGAGAAUAAGAAUUAAAAUAAUUUUUACGUUUAUUAAAAUAUGAGUAUGAGAAUCAUUUCACUUUUUAAUUCUCUCAUGUGUUCAGUAGCACAAAUAUAAUUAGAUAACUGUGUCUUUCUUUUUGAAACCCAUAAUCAAAUACCUAAACAUCUAGAAGUAGAGAGCAACUAGAGGGGCUAGUUGUGAUCCUAUUCCUCUGUCCUUACUUCCCCUAUUUCUAUGUUUUCUGAUUCCUUUCCUCUUGGAUUAUGUUAAGUAACCAUGCCCUUCAUCUUGAUUUCCAGGAGGAAUAUAUGCAAGUUUACUGCCCAAGGAUGAGUACUUCCCCAAAGCUUUAUACACAUUUGACAUUGGUCAGAACGACCUUGGGGAAGGGUUCUUUGCAAACAAGACUAUAAAGGAGGUGAAUGCAUCUGUUCCUGAUAUAAUCAUCAAGUUCUCAACAAAUAUUCAGGUAACCUUUGAAAAUAAUGACCUAAUUGGUGGGUUUUUUAUUGUUGCCUUAAUAUGUUUACCCAUCGAUGAUCAUCAAGAUAAUGUUGUGAUGUCACAAAAUGUAGAAAAUAUAUGACUUGGGAGCCAGAUUGUUUUGGAUCCACAACACUGGGCCAAUUGGCUGUCUCCCUUACAUUUUAGCUAAUUUUCCAUCAGCUCAAAAGGACGAGGUUGGCUGCGCAAAGUCUUACAAUGAAGUGGCUCAGUAUUUUAACCACCAACUGAAGGAAGCCACAGUUCAACUUAGGAAGGAUCUUCCUUUGGCUGCAUUUACUUACGUGGACAUAUAUUCUGUCAAAUACUCUCUUUACAAGGAACCAAAAAAAUAUGGUAAGCCGCCCAAACUGUAUGAUAUUUAUACACAUAACAUACCUGCAUUUUAGAGGCCUCCCUUGUUAACUUGAAUUCACCAUACGUUACGAUACGCAGAGAGAAAUGUUGCAUGGAAUAGGUGCAUUCAAGUUUUUCUGUCAGUUACGUUGGAUGGCUAGGACUUGAAAUGUCCUAUCAAAAUGGUCGACUUAACAAUGGUACGACUAGAUUAAAUCAAACAUUUUCACAUAGUAGGAGGUAAAAAAAAAGUCACCUCUGCUACGAUGUAACUUUAUAAAACUUAGACGAGUAAUGCUAUUUUUACCACCUAAUAUAAUGUACCACAGUUCAGUACCAUCUAAUGUUACAACUGAGGGGAACAAGCCACAUCAAUACAAAAUUAUCUUGUGGAAAAUGAGGUGUAUAAUCCCUAGGGUUUGGUUGGUUGGACUUAUAUUUGCGUUAGUGUAUUAUAUAAUAUGAUAAGUGAUGUGUUAACUAUCAGUUUUUCAUAACAAUUGAGAGCACACCUAAAACCUAAUCGUAGAUUAGAGAAAUUUCAUUAAUGUUAUUUAUUUUCCGUUGUAUGAAUCUUUCUUGAAACUUUUUUCAGGGUUUGAGUUCCCACUUGUUGCUUGUUGUGGGUUUGGUGGGAAGCACAACUAUAGCAGUAGUGCUGGAUGUGGAACAACAGUUACAGUCAAUGGAAGCCAAAUAUUUGUUGGUUCGUGCAAAAGCCCGUCAGUGAGAGUGAAUUGGGAUGGCAUUCAUUAUACUGAGGCAGCUAACAAGUUUGUUUUUGACAAAAUUUCAACUGGAGCAUUUUCAGAUCCACCCCUUCCCUUAAAACAUGCAUGUCACAGGAUUUAGACUAAUUAAAAAUUAAUUAAACCAUAAAUAAGUACUCCUGCAGACGCAUGCAUGUGGAAAACUGGAAAUCUUUUAUGGCAAUAAUGUUCUACCUUGUAUAAGCUACUUUAAGUCGUUAAGGUAGUAGGUUAGAACCACAAAAAAAAAUAAAGGCUCCAACAUUCAGUACUGUUGUAACUAUAUUGGAAACUCUUAUGAUGAUUAUACACUAGCCCAUUUGUAUAAGAUGUAUCAGGUUCAUCCUUAAGGCAUGUAGUUUCCAAAUGCAGAUAAUUUGCUAUAACCUUCACUUUUAGUUUGAGGUUUAUUGAGAAAACGUAUUUUACUUGAGACUAAAGAAACAUCUACCGGCUUAUUCGCUUUGCACACGAGUUUUAGGCGCAAUUAAAGUAUGAAAGAUAGCAAAGUUAUUUACAUGCCUUAAAACAAUCUGUCUCCAACAUCUUCAACACUUGUUCGACCAAAAAAAAACAUCUUCAACACUUGUGUCAGGUGAUCAGGUUUUGGCUCAACAUGAGGUCAAAUCAAACUUGAUGUACUCUUAUUUUACAUCACAUUGACCCAAGUCAAUUGUCUAACAAGUGUAACAAACCAACGUAUUCCAUGUUAUGUAGUAAUCGGGAAGGGACCAUAAACACCUGAAUGAACCAAAUCCAAAAGGAAAUUCUCUUUUGUUAAAACUUAAAGGGUACGAAACACAAUAUCUUUUAGCUAAAGUGCAAAUAUUAAAUUUUAACUCAGAGUCUUGAACACCAUUUUUUUUUUUUCCCCGAAGAUAGAAAUAUAUUAGAUACGAAUAGAAAGGUUUACAUCCUGGGCUAGGAUAUUAAACAAAAAUUCAGGCCCAAUACAGUCCCACCCAUAUUCACGACCCUCCUUGAAAACAAACUUAGCAACCGAGUGAGCAGCAACAUUGCCCUCCCUAGGCACGUACGAGAACGAAACUGACCUCAACCUACGCGCUAGAACCUCAAUAUCACCAAGAAUACAUUCAAGACUGAAAUCAUGAUCCAUUUCAUGCCUAAUCAUCUGAAUAAUCACUUUGGCAUCAGAUUCAAUAACAACAUUAUCAUACCCAUAGUUAAUACAGGCCAAGAGGGCGGUCCUGAUUGCAGCAGCUUCCCCAGCAGCCGCGGAGUGGCACAGCGCAACGCCAGAGCCCCCAGCACCGUGAAGUAAUCCAGCAAAGUUGCGGCAGACCCAGCCUACCCCCGUGCGGAGGGUGUUCUUGCACCACGAGGCGUCAGUGUUGACCUUAAGGAUCCCGAACGCCGGCUUCUCCCAUCUACAAGCCCCACGGUCCAAGGAAGCAAUCUUCGAUCGACACCCAGGCUGCUUUCCAGCAGGCUCGCUGAGCGUAGCAUCUCUGAAUUCAGAGAUGUUCCUGCUCCAAGCCUCCAAAAGCUCCAAGGGCUGCCGGUGCACCCCAUUAAAAACCACCUCGUUCCUGUUUUUCCACAGUCUCCAUAACCCAAAGGUAAACUCCUGCAUGAUCUCCUCCGCGUUGUCCCUCCCCUUAACCCGAGUCCAGAACAACUCCCAGCUAGAUAGGAAGUCUGCCCCUGCCAGCGCAAAGGAAUUCAACUGAAGCGAAGAGGAGAACCAUAACAGGUGGCUAAGGUGGCAUCGGAAGAAUAGAUGAGCUUCCGUCUCAUCCAUAGCACCACAAACACCACAGACGUUGUCCACUCUCAUAUGUCUCCGCUUCAGGUUACGUCGAACAGCCAGAGCAUUGUUACAACAUCGCCAGAUAAAAAUUUUAAUUUUGUUAGGUACCUUCAACUUCCAGAUCAGGUUCUAAGCAGUGCAGUUCUUUAGCUUGUCGCUUGCAGACCCACAACCUUUCUUCCCCAAAGCACCGUUUUCCAUGAGGUUCAUAGCCACUCCGUACCCCGAUCGCACCGAAUAAACCCCAUUCGCGUUGUGGUGCCACACCAUCCGGUCCCGGCACCCAGUCUUGCUUAAGGGGAUGCUUAAGAUUAGUCUCACAUCGUCCUGGUGAAAGCUUGCCAGGAUCAGAUCACGUUUCCAAGAGCAGGACCCCGAAUCAAUUAACUCACUUACCAUAGUAGCAUGCAAGCUUACUAAAGGCCUAACUUUAAACGUAGAGGGCCUAGGAAACCACGGGUCCUCCCUAAUGUUAAUGCAUGCCCCGUCCCCGACCCGCCACCGCAGGCCAUGUAGGAGCACCUUCCGGGCAUAAAAAAUCCCCUUCCAACCCCACGACGUGUUCCUACCCUUUCCCGCCUCAGUAAAGCUCUUCCUAGGAUAAUAUUUUUCUUUCAGAACAGUAGCAAGCAAAGACCCCGGAUUCUGGAUCAGCCGCCACCUAAUCUUGGCAAGGAACGCCAGGUUAAAACACUGGAUAUCCCUAAAGCCUAGCCCGCCGACUCGUUUUUGCUUCAUUAACCGCUCCCAUGAGAUCCAGUGGACCCCAUUUCUCUGCUCGUUCCCUCUCCACCAGAAAUUCCGGAUAGCUUUCUCCAGGUCUCUACAUACCCUAAUGGGAAGUUUAAAACAGCUCAUGGCAUAGCAUGGCAUCGCCAUGGCUACUGCCUUGACAAGGACUUCCUUUCCUGCUUGGGAUAGAAAUUGCUCAGCCCAACCCGCCAACCGGGAUUCAAGCCUGUCCCGCACCUCUUCAAAAACCAUUCUUUUAGAGUUGCCAAAAUCAGAUUGCAGCCCAAGAUACCUACCAAAACCAGACUUGCAUUGGAUUCCCAUAGUCCGGCCAAUCUUUCUCCUCACCCUGUUCGAGGUCUUCGAGCCGAAGAAAAUUGAGCUUUUGGCCAGAUUAAUAGCUUGGCCAGAGCCUCGGGCAUAUGUUCGCAGCACCUCUACGAUGCCACUCGCCUCCUCCACACUUGCAUGACCGAAUAACACCGAGUCAUCCGCAAAAAACAGAUGCGAGAUCGGGGUCCCGUUUGCUGACACACUGAACCCGUGGAGGGCACCCCGCUCCAUCCCUCUCCUGAUGAGCAUGGAAAGACCUUCUAUACAGAGCAAGAAGAGAUAGAGAGAUAGGGGGUCUCCUUGUCGCAGCCCAUGCUCCGGCAGGACAAGCCCAGUCGGGUUCCCGUUUACUAGGAUGCUGAAAGAGGCCGUGGAAAUGCACUCCUUGAUCCAGUUGCAAAAUAGGGGAGCGAACCCUAAUUUCACCAUCAUGGAUAAGAGGAACACCCACUCCACGCGGUCGUACGCCUUAGCCAUGUCGAGCUUAAUAGCCAUGCCAGUCUGGUCACCUUUUUUUUUAUGAAGCAGUGUGUGUAGUAGCUCGUGCACCACCAAAAUGUUGUCCUGAAUUUGUUUCCCCGCCACAAAGGCAGAUUGGUUGUCACAAAUCACCUUUGGCAUCACCAUCUUUAGCCGGUUAGUGAGAACCUUGGCAAUGACUUUGUAGAUUACAUUGCAUAGUGCAAUAGGCCGGUAUUGCGUCAUGUUCUUCGGGCACUUGACCUUAGGGAUAAGCACAAGGUUAGUAUGAUUAAGUUUCCUCAGGAUAGUACCCGAAUGCCAGAAGGCUUUGACUAUCUUUAUCACAUCCUUGCCCACAGUAUCCCAAUGAUCCUGGUAAAAGCAUCCAGAGUACCCGUCCAGACCAGGGGCCCUAAUUGGAGGGAUUUGGAAGACAGCCGUUUUGAUUUCCUCCUCCGUCACCGCUGCCGUCAAGGCAAGGUUGUCCUCAGCAGACACACGUGGUGCCAGGCAUUCCCCAAUCUCAUCGAUUUGCCCAGGGCUGCUCGACUUAAAUAACACUGCAAAAUAAGAGGUAGCAAUUGAAGAUAUCGCUGCUUCAUCCUCCUGCCACACUCCAUUCAAAUCCUCCAACCCCUUGAUUUGGUUGAACCUCCUUCUUUUGAGAGUUUGAGCAUGGAAGAACUUAGAAUUUUUAUCACCUUCCUUUAACCAUUGGGCAUGCGACUUCACCCUCCAGUAAGAUUCUUCGUUUCGAUGGGCAGCCCUGAGCUCUCUCUCCUUCAUCUUAACCACCUCCGAGGCAAAUUCAGUAGACAUAUAAGCCGCUCGAAUCUCUUCUUUCAGCUGCCCGAUGACUUUCUUCGAGUUCAUUCCUCUCCCCUGAUACCAAUCCUUAAGCUUGUGCCUUAGGGCUUUCAAUUUUUCACAAAAGCGAAAAUCAUGUGACCCCCCAUGUUUAUCUCUCCAUUCCUCUACCACCAAUUACUGACACUCCUCCAUUUUGCUCCAUCGUGCAUCAUAAGAGAAUUUUCUCCCCUUCCAUGCUUUCACUUUCUCCGUGGACAAAAAUAACAGAGCAUGGUCAGACCCUUCCAGUACCACAUGCCUAAUUGUGUUCUCAGGGUAAAGGUCCUGCCAUCCCAUAGUGGCCAAUCCCCUGUCCAGGCGCUGCUGAAUAGGCUUCGCCUCCUGGUUGUUCCGCCACGUAAACGGAUAGCCAACAAAACCCAAGUCCAUGAGCUCAUUUUGAGCCACAAACUCUCGAAAGUCUCGCAUAUUAGCCGUCGGUCUGUAGUUACCCCCUCUUUCUCAUCAUUACACAGAAUGUCAUUAAAGUCCCCGAUGAGAAGAGUUUUUCCCCUAUUGUUUCCAAGCCGCCUGCUCAAAUACCCCCAUUGAUCCCGCAGUUUUUUCUCAUCAGUACUAGCAUAGAUUGCAAACAAAUACCAGUGACACUUCUUGUGCUCAUCCCAAAUUUUAACUUCAAUAACAAAGUCCUCAGACUUCACCAGAGUAACCUGGGAAGCAUCCCGCCAGAAGACACAGAGGCCUCCCCCAAUGCCCCUAGGUUCCACUGCGUGCAUGUACUCCAAAUCCAAACGUUUCUUGAGAUACCCAUACCGACUGCUUUUAUUUUUGGUUUCCAGCAAAACCACAAUGUCAGAGGUGUGGAGCCGAUUCUGCUCCAGUAGAUUGUCAACUGUCAGGUCACCCCCGAUACCCUGACAGUUCCAAGUAAGUAGCCUCAUUUGGACCUGGGAGACCCCUCACGGCUGGUCUCCUCCGCCUCAACAUAUGUCUUCCUACUCAGCUUAGAUCUUUUAGGUUCCACACAGGGGUUAACCUCAUCAUACUCCACUUCUCGGGCACUUCUCUUUUUGCCUUUAUUCUCGUUCAUCACGGCUUCAAUGAUAGCUUUCAGCUCAAAAGGAUCAUCAUCUUUAGCCAGAUCACAUCCACUCCCGCACCCCCGACCAUCACUAGCUUCCCCCCGUCUAGCAUUCACAUUGUCCCCAUCCUCACCGACUCCAGGCACAAGGUUAAGAUCGAAAAAAGAGCCUUCAUUCAGAGUUAUACUUACCGAAUCCACCCGUCCCUCCUGCUCGUAAUGGUCAUUAAGUACCACGUGUUCCGCUCCCGCUGCCACCGCACCUCCCGGCCCAAUUAAGCCUGCAUCGAAAGCCAGUUCUCUCGCUGACCUUGCCUCUUCUUCAGCUAGCCUUUGGCGUCGGAUUUUCCCCGCAAGCACGUUGUCUCUGUAUCCCAUUUUGUUAGACGACCACCUAGGCUUGCUUGGUGAUGUUCCAGUGUCAAUAACCUCCUCCUCCAACGGCGCGGUGCACUCACUACUGCUCUGAGAUCUGCUAGCCGUUAUCGGGGGUUGACAUCCCAUUCCUGACGCCGUAGAAGACCGCCCGGAGCGUCUACCACCACCCAGUUCUUCGUUCCACCGCUCCGAUCCACUCCGUCCACCAUUUGACCCAGAGGAUGCCCUGCUCCUGGUUCCAGCUCCCAGAGGAUUACCUCUCAGGUCCGACACCGCAUCUAACCCACGGAACGCAAGUACCUCAUUCCUCGUCUUGGUGCAAUCUCUUUGGUCUGUUCUUUCAUCCAAAACUUCCUUGCAAAUCCUAGUAGGGUGUCCCAGCUUUCCACAAAUGAGACAGUAGUUAGGAAGUGAUUCAUACUUGAAAUCAAUCCAGAUCUUGCCUUCAUCGGGAAAGGUCACAAAGGUCCCUUGCAUUAGGGGUUCGCGAACAUUGAAGCCAAUUUUCACCCGGAGGAAUCUUCCAAUGCAGUCACGGCUCCCAGUUUUGUCCACCGAUCGAACCUCACCCAUCAAACUACCUAUUGUUUCAGCUACCGCUUGGGUCAUACUGAGCACCGGGACGUUAUGCAGCUGGACCCAAAGCACACCCAGGGAGAGAGGGGUCCAUCGGUUCAGCCCCUUCUCCGUUCAAUCCGCCACCAAUACAAGGUCAUUUUUGAACAUCCAAGGCAUGUCCGCCUCAACCACUCGUUGCAAAUCCCUUUUCCCAGCAAACCGAGCAAGAAAUCUCCGAUCUCUAAUCUCCCUAAUCGAGACCCCCUCACGUCCACGCCAGAGAGACAUGAAGCAAUCAACGAACACAUCUCCUUUCACCGCCUUAGUAGUGAGGACUUCUGCAAUCAGGGUAUACUGAAACCCUAAUAGAGCACCUUCGACAUCCUUUCUCUCAAUACACACGCCUCCCUGUUCUUUCUCAGACAGGAUGAGGUUGAUCCCAAAUCGUGUCCCCAACUCCUCUAGGUCCUCAUUCGGACUUCCCCCAGCCAUGGCUAGUUAGAAGAACCGCACCUCACUCACCCCCCAGAGGCCACCACCACAAGCGCCAGCCACUGUACCUUAUCUCCUCUCAGAUCUCCACCAGAUCCAGAUCUCCGCACCUGGGCAGGCCGCCCUCGAGCCGCCAGUGGAACAACUUUGCUCGCCGUUCCCCAAUAAAUCACGACAGCCGAGCCAAGUCCCCGGAUUCGCAACCAGAGCUUCGAGAAGGAGGGACUAGCUGGUCAGAUCUCGGACAACGAUUUAACUACAGGACGCGCUCGUUGACGGAGCACCGCACUCCUCCUUUCGAGGCACAUUUCUCACUUUGAGUCUUUUUCUCUUGAACACCAUUAAAUAAAGACGGAUGCAACUUAUGCAAAUAUUCAAAAGAUGCAUGCCCAAUUCAACAAUGCCACAACCAACAUCUUCUUAACGUGCUCGUUGUUACUACUGCAAACUUGAUGUACUCAACCAGAUGCCACAUCGUCAACAUAGUAUAGCCCCUUUCUCUUAGUGCCAUGCUGAAUGAUUGCCCAAGUCUAGAUAUCUUGAAGUAGGCAAAAUGUAGGAAACAUUAAUUAAAUACAAUCCAAUUGCUCAGUAACUUGACCAACUGACAAUAAGUGGUUCAAAAAAGCAAGAAUUAACAACCUACGGUGUAAAGAUAAAGUGAGAGUUAAGGCAAUAGAGUCGGCCCCUGUUACUGGGACAACAUCACCAUUAGCCGUAACAACACUCUCUUUAGGAGGUGUUGUCAUAUACUGAAACAGGGAUUUGUCAUAUGUGGAUCAGUUGCAACGAAGUCAACAAUCCCACCGCAUCUCUAUCCACAGAUGCAAUUGAAACCUUACCAAGAUUACCUGUGUCAUCAACAAUAUCACAGAGAGAAGAUAGUUGGUCAAUAAGUGACAAGACCAGUUCAGGGGUCUUAUGGCUAGUUGUGGUAUUGACGAAAGUCACAUUGGAAUCACUGUUACCGCCAGUUGGUUCCUCCUUAUUACGGCCAGCAGAUAUUGCUGCAACUCUUGUACCACUAUCAGCUACUUUGGCUUGUCCCAUACGAGAACUCCUUUCAGCCUUUACUGGACGAAACUUUUUUGACAACUUUCUUUAUCAUUCCUUUUUGAACACUUUAUUUAUUAUUAAGGAUAUGUUUUUUUAAAUCAAACCCCUUAUGGGGUGUGACUGCAUUUUCCUGUGUGUAUGUGUUCAGGAAACCGAAGCAGGGGCACCAUGGAAAUGAGGGUUUCAUUCCGACUCUCGAUGAGGUAAGCAAAUCAUUAGCAGAAAUAGUCUCCUCUGAUGACCCUUCAGGCUUUAUCACAAGUGUGUACAAAAUUGGACGCCGUGUGGAGAUCUUUUGUACGUCGAAUAUACAAUUUCCCCAGGGCAUACACAGCAGGGGACAUUAAUGAAAUUCAACACUCUGGAGCAAGGACAAAUGUUUCUUUUCUAAACAGAUGAAUCUUGAAGACCAAAAUUGCAUUACGGCCAGAGAGAUAUGUGGCCGGUUGGGAAGAAGCCAAGGGGCUUAAGGGUACUUUUAUCCAGAUUAAUGAAAGGGUUCAGGAAGCAGUGCAACAAUCACCCUUUCCUCUCAAUCUCGAACACUAUGUCCUAUUUCCUUGCCUCGUCACCCAUCUUGAUCAUUGGAUAAAAAUUCACAAGAUGGAGAGUGCGCGUACUUAUAAUGAUUUUGCAUUCAACAUUUUGGGGUUAGUAAUAUUUUAUUUGACAUCUCCUCUUGUUAAUGGCUAGCUAUGCUACUGGACAUUACUUAUUCUCAAGUAUUAAUUUUUUUUUAUUUGUAAUUGCACCCAUAAAUAUUACUAAGGCUCUAGCUGAUUGUCCUCAUAUCCAUGGUAAUCUUCGAACUGGAUGAUCGAACUUGAUGCAAGGAUGCUCAUUUAAUCACUAUCAAUUUUUUUUCUUGUCUUAUUUCACUAAGGGGUGUGAUAUCCACACAUCCCUUUUUACUUCUCUCACACCUUUUUGGCUUUCGGCCGUCGGAUCGGAUGAAUUAAAGAAGAUUAAUUGACAGAAAUUAACAAAGGGUGUGUGAGAAGUAAAAAGGGGUGUGUGGAUAGCACACCCAUUUCACUAAAGGUCAAUCACAACAAGUAUGGCACAAGGAUUCUGAUGAUCUCUGUUAUCUCAUCGACCAAAUAUAUGAAGGUCGGAAGUUGGACGAGUCGACGACUGUUCGUAUAGAAAAGUACAAGUCUUUCCUCCAAAGAAUCACAAAUUCUGUUAAUAUUCGUCAUGAAGGCGGGAAAAUCAGCAACAUAAGUUUAGUGAGGUUCUACAUGUUCAGUAAUUCAACCGUCUGGAGCAGCAGCAAGGAAAAGGUGCAGCUAAUUGCAAACGUUUACAGACUCCAUAAAGAUGAGACCUUUGAUAUAGUUAGGGCGUUCACAGCUCAAUUUGGUAAUUGGAAGUAUGAUGACUGGCAAAAUAAAGUGGACAACCAUGUCGUUUUCAAGGCUGUGAAAAUUAUCAACAGAACAAACGCCGACUCCGCCAAGGUAGAAGUCCUCAGAAUUCCAAUUCCCGUUUAUACAACUGCAGAAAGUUGGUUAUUGUAUGUGCACAACUGUAUGAAGCACUACUGGGAACAUGCAAAGCGGUUACAAAAGGUGAGUCUCAUCACCCUACAAAAUUAAUACCUACUUGUCAGCAUGCAUCUUCUAACCUUUUCUUUUCUUUUAAAUAAACAGAAAGAACAUGGAACAAGUCGAGUACUGGAGAAGUUGACAAAGCUGUUUCCUACGCUGAUUGAAGACAUGUAUGCGGGGUUGGCCCAGGCUCUAUAUGCUGAUAAAGUUAGACAUCCUCGGUUCAUGUCAAGGGAGAUAGUGAAAGGGGGUAAUCGCGGCAUGAGAAGCAAAGACAUUUCAAGGAGUUCGAAAAAAUUUAAUGAAUGGCAGUUACUUUUUGAGUAGAUUCUAGUUCUUAAGAAUUCAUGAGAAUUUUCAAGAGAAGUUUGAUAGGAGGCAGUUGGUUCUUUUUUUGAGCUCUGUUUUUGGGUGUGUGUCUGUGCAGCACGUCUUUCUUUUGUCGUAGCCAGGGUAUAAAAAAUCGAUAAUAUCGGCGAUAUUUCGCCGAUAUUAUCGUUUUUUUCGGAGUUCGAUAUUUCCACACACAUCCAAUAGGUUUUCGUCAAAAUAUCGCGAUAUUAUCGAUAAUAUCGCGAUAUUACCGAUAAUAUUGCGACAUUUUAGAAAUCAACCCAGAAAUCCAACCCCAAUCUUGUUCCAAUUUUGCAGAUCAAGAAACAAUCAAAACAGAUUCAACCCCAAUCUUGACAAACCCUAGAAAUCAACCCAGAAAAAAAAAUCGAAAUAAAACCUUAUAUUUUGAAAUCAACCCAGAAAUCUCAUCGUUCAUUCCGGCGGCUGCUUUUUCUACGACUGCUUCGUUCCUUCCGCUCCUUGGAGCUUCUCGCCGGAGAGGAGUUGCGACUAUCGAAACCAUUGGACUCAGUAUACGAUGCAGAAUCGUUGUCAAAUCUUCUUGCGGCGACUCUUGGAUAACAACAACGUCGACAACUCUUGGAUGAUGACGAUGACGGUGCCUCCUUCAUACUUCUACAGAAGGAGAGGUAAGAGUCUCGACGACGGCGCCUCCUUACUUCUGACGACAACGGCGCCCCUUUUUUCUGCGGUGACUCUGGAUGACGACGAUGGCGUCUCGACGACUGUUGAGUCGAGACUGAGAGAGAUGAGAUUGGGAAAUCGAGACUGAGAGAGAUGAGGGUUCAGACUUGAGAGAGUUCGAGAAUGUGUGUGCGUGUCCGUGAAUCAGAUCAGAGAUUCAGAAUGAGAGACGGAGAGGAGAGGACUGAAAAACUUAAGUUGGAUUGGACGGUUGAGAUUAAAUCUCAACCAAUCCGACGGUCCACAUAAUUCUUAAACCUAUUUAAAUUAAACAUAUAUUUUAUAAAUGUCUUUGUGUGCGUGUGUGGUGGCGUGUGAGAGUCUCUGACUCUAUGUAUGUGUGGUGGCGUGUGAGAAAAAAAAAAAGCAUUCAAAUAAUUCAUAGGGAACUUUAACAAAAAGCUCAUGGUACUGUUCACUUUAACGAAAAACCACCACAUUUUUACACUAAAAAGUCAAUCUUGGUACUAUUUAUUUUUCCCUUUAUUGUUGGUCCUUAUUGUUAAAGUUUUCAAGCCCUUUUCAUUAGUUUUCCUUAAUUUCAUAACCUUGUCUCUUGACUCUUUUACAACUUUUACAACUUUUGACAAGAUAAAAAGUAAUGGUGUUUCAUCAAGAUUCUAAAUCACUCAUGUAUCUUACCCUGCAAUGUUGUUGACCCUAGAAACUACAAAGCCUACGUGGCGCGCAGGCCGAGUAAUUAAUGAGCUAACUACGUCCUUCGGUGAAUGCGGGGGCGUGCCAACUCGUCGGCCGAGCUCGGCCGAGGAGUAAAUUUGUUGAUGUUGCGUUGGGUCGCGCUACUGACUUCUGCGUCUUGCGAUUGCGGCCGAGAAAGGAAACACGUCUCGGCCUCUUGGGCUCUCUCGAACCUGAAGACAAGGUUUUACUAUUUUACGAAGUUCGAUAUCAUAAAUUCGGCUUUCAAUGUGCCGAAUGUAAUAAUAAUGUAACACACCUCACUUCGCCGAGAAGGCUGAUGAGAUGACCUCGACUAAUAAGGAUUUAGAAACCCUUCUCAACCGAGACUUGGAUAGGUAAUCAAUCGUUCUCGCCGCAGUGCUGUGUUGAUGCCAACGGAAGAUACUGCGAGACCGACUGACUCUACGGUGACAGAGCUAUCUAUGCCGACUUAAGAUAUCACCGGUUGCUUCCACAGUGCUGUUGAUGCCAACGGAAGAUGUGUCAGCGAAAAAAGGAAAAAGAAAAAUCACAAGUUGUGAGAGUUUGCGCAGGGCAAUUUUUGUAUUGAUUUGCAGGGGUCCUUAACUUGGUGCACUGAGUCUUGUAUUUAUAAGGUUGGAUAUCUGCUAGCUUUGGCCUGACGGAUUUGUAUUUCAAUUGCACCCAAAGACUUCAUGAUGGAAUAUGCGAAUCUGAACAACAAUAGAGACUCUGCAUGCUAACCCUAUUUUAUUCCCACUUUGACUUAUAUUUAUCCCAUCAGAAACUUUCUUAUCUCAUCAGAGCCUAGCCUUAUCCCAUCCAAAGCCAUCACUUCAAAGUCAAACUCCUAAUGCAACUAUAAAACCUUUUUCUUCUUCCACCAUGCAUGUCCAUAUGCAUGCAACUUCAUUAAUCCCAUUUUUAAUUUAAAUAUUUAGCAUCCUGCCAAAAUAUUUGAUGACUAUGAUUCUUCCAUAUCUGUCAAGAUCUUUGAACUCAUCCGUCCACAUCCCUUUGUGUUCUUUCUUUGACCAAUUUGCUUUGACCAUACAGGAUAAUAAAAUAAUAUAUUCAACGGCCUCGAUUACUCGGGCCGAUUGUGUAAAUUCGGGCCCAAACAAAUGUAUAAAGUGUAAAAUAUUGUAGUAAAUCAUUAUAUAUAAAUGAUUAUGGUGUGUUUAAUCUUUUUUUCAUUAAUUACUACAUAUUUUCUACACUCACAGUGUUUGCCAGCUCGCUGUAUAAUCAACUUAAAUCAGUUAAAUCCAUCCUGCAAUGCAUUUCCUUCCAAUUUUUUGUGAUAAACUAAUAGAUAAUUGACUAAAUAAACAUCCUGCAAAGUUUCAAUAAAAAUUUCCAAGUUUUUCUUACAAUUUCCGUGGUUUCCAUGUAAUUUUUAUCGAUAUCGAUAUUAUCCCGAUAUUUCCAUCAAUAUUUCCGUGUUUUCGGACUACCGAUAUUUCCGAUAUUACCGAUAUUUUCUUCCUUGGUCGUAGCCAGAACUCCUGUUUUUGGAGGAUUAUAUAUUACGCGUGUGCUAGUUGGCCUUUUGUAAUAGUGGUACAAACAAAAGUUAAUUGCAUUUUGUCUUUCGAGUUUUAUUUGUUUAGCAAGACACGUUUUAGUUAAUUGAACCCUAUAAAUUUGAAUGAAAAAAGAAAAUAAAACAUUGUUAUUAUAAACAGAAAAAACUUGUUUACGCAACCUUUUUUUUUUCCCUUUCAUUGUUUCCUGACAAUUUUGGUGGAAGUCUUUAGCUUUUGUACACGUCAGAAUUUUAAGAUUAAUCAAAUUCCAAAUUAGAUUUUCCUUUUUUACUUAACAAACUCAUUUAUCUAUGACGUGUUUACCAAAUGGAGUUGGAGGGGAAGAACGAAAUUGCACUCUUCCCAAAGCAUGUGCUUUCCAACGUUUACUAGCAUUUAGAGAAUCAGAAAACAGGUGGGGUCCACCCAAUAUCAAUAAUUGUCUAACUGAAAAAAAAAAUUGAAAUUCUACCAUAAAACCAAUAUAUUUAAGAUCUUGUAUAUCUAUAUAAUCAGUAAUUGUCUGACCGAAGCAACCUUAUGAAGGUCCUCGACAUUUUACGUUGUUCCAAAGUCAAUUUGAUUUUGCAUAUCAACUAACAAACAUAGAUUAUCCUAAUCUCUAAUAAUACAUAUUCCUUAUCAGCUAACAAACAUAGGUAAUCCUAAUCUCUAAUAAUCUCACGUGCAUAACAAAAAGCCAACCAAGUGUAUAGCUCUCUGUAGAACUUACUUGCUGGCCUUGUAGAAUUGGACAAUACAACUCACGAGCCACGACUUAAAACAUGGACAUGUGUCCUUUCAUGGGUUAGCUUUUAGUUUUAUCUAGAUGGAUUGGAAAAGACGUGCAAUUUGAAAAUUCCACCCUUCAAUUCCUAGCUUGCGCUAUAUAAAUAGUAGUGACCUCUUAAUUUUCAUGCAUCGAUCUCAUCUGCAAUUAUCAUUGUUGUAUUAUUUUCUCCACCAUGGAGUCACCGAUAAUUACUAUCAAAGUUAUUUCAUUCUUUUGCUCGUACAUGCUUUUGUCGCACUUGCAUCUCACCACUUUGAACCCUACUGCCUUGCUUUGGAGGACUGUCAGUUUCCAGCCGUCUUUAACUUUGGGGACUCUAAUUCAGAUACUGGCGGAUUGGCCUCAUCCCUUAUUGCACCAACCCCUCCUUAUGGUGAGACAUUUUUUGGUAUGCCGGCCGGAAGAUUCUCAGAUGGCCGUCUCACAAUCGAUUUCCUCGGUAUGUGUAUUUGUUCUUUAACUACCUUACUUAUUUCAUAGUUUUCUCUUGCUUCUACUUAUUUCUUAUGUGGAUGAAAUUACUUAUUGUUUCCAAACUGUUUCAUUGAUGAUCUUGAAACUUAAAACAGUUUAUCUUGAAACAUCACUAUAUACUUUGUUCUAAAUUAUUAAAUUAGUAUUUCUUUUCUCAUAGAAACGAAAGAUUAUAUACCUUUUUUUUUAAUUAAUGUAGGGUUUUUGACUUGGAAUCUCUUAUACACUCUAAGAUUAAAGUUUGGAGAGGUAUUCAUCAAUUUACCUCCUGAACUUGUAAGGAUUGGCCAAUUUCCCCCUUUUACUCUCAUAAUUAGUCAAUUUGCACCCUACUGUUAAUUUUUUUAAUUUUUCAUCUAUUCUUCCGUUAAGUAGGUAUUUGCAUGACUGCCUUUAAAGGACAAAAAAGUCAUUUUCCCUACACCUAUCUUCUUCCUUUUCUUCGAACUUUCUCUUCUUCUUCCUUUUCUCUUUUUAAUUUUUCAUCUAUUCUUCCGUUAAUUAUGAGAGUCGAUGGAAGAAAUUGGCCAAAAUUAAAGUUGAGGGGGGAAAUUGGCCAAUGAUCACAAGUUCAAGGGGGUAAAUUGAUGACUACCUCAAGUUUGGAAGAAGAAAAUCGAACUUCAACCAUGCAUACAUGUAUAAAACGAAUCCAAAAGCAGAAUAUUAUUGUCUGAAACCGUGGAGCCGGUUGCCUUUCUGUUGAAUCCAAAAGCAUAGUUUUCUUGGUGUGGCCCAUGUUAAAAGGAAUCCAUUGAAGUUUUUAUACGCUUCUCAAUUGUUUGUCACUUGCCAUAACUUAACCUUGAUGGGAUGAAAUUUUUUUAGCAUGUAGGUCACAUUAGAACAUAAUAUUAUUAACUCACGUGUUAUAGGAUAAGUGUAUAACAUAAUUUAUAUGUUAUGAAUUUACGAAAUAAUAUUAAUUAAUAAAUGUAAUAAGAAAUAUUAUAUCAAUAAUACAAUUUCUUGGUGUAUCAGUCACUCAAAAAAAUUUCAUAUAUAUUCAUGACCAAAAUUUUUAUUAAAGGCUUCACUACAAAGUUUCCUUUUAAACUUUUGAAGUUUUUUUCACUUUUUGUCUUUCAAUUGUUUUUUUUCCAAAAAAUGAUCACCUUUGAACGUUUCUUAAAAUGAUAAAUGAUUAUUUUUUAAGGUUAUUUCACUCAAAGCAUUUGUGUUUACUUUGACGAAAUACUGUCUAUGUAUUGACUACUUCUAUCUAGAAUCCUAAUAUCUCUUUUUCUUCCCAUCAAGUUUAUAAUUGAAUUUAGAGAUUUUUUUUCUUCUAAUCCUGCUCAUUUUAUCCAUUAAAAGAGGCAUUUGAGGUCUACAAAAAAUGCACAGUCCUGUGUUGGUUCAAGAUGUUUUGCCACAGUGGUCCAUAAGGACACAAAAUACUAGCCAAAUUGAAUUUGUAGUUCAUCACUAGUUUUGUCAAUUCUCGCAGCUAACCCCAACGUGCGACCAACUUUAUUGACUUAAGGCCAUCUCUAAUUCUGGGCUAAAUGCUAUUUUUUUAGGUUUUAUUCCCCCCCCCCCCAAAUCCAACCCAACCCAUGCUAAAUGUGUAGGCUAAAAGCUAAAAACUAAACAAAAGCCAGAUUUAACCCAGGAUUAGUGGGGCUGGCCCACCAUAUAUGUGUAUUUUAUUUAGUUUUAUAUUUAUAAAUUCAUUGAAUCCAACGGUUAAAAUCUAAUUUGAUGAAAUUCAACCGUAAAAAAAAUAUUUAACAGUUCAAAUUUAAAUCUAACGGCAAAACUAGUUAAAAAAAAAAUCUUUUAUUGUUUCAUAUUUUUUUCAUAGUGUUUAACGAGUUUCAUGGUGUUGAUUUGUGAUUUUUCAAUAUUUGUCAGAAUCUAAAUAUUUUUUGGUUAAAAUGUUCAUAAAAUUAAAUUAUGAUAGUCUACAUAAUUUUUUCUUUUAAAAAAGUUACUUUAAGAAAAAAAUUAGCCUAAAUUCAUUUUUUAAUAAUCUGGAGCUAAAAAUUUAGGCCAUAAGGGUUGAAGCAGAAAAACCGUUUCUGGGUUAAAACCUAAAUUUUUUGAGCUAAAAAUUUUAGGUUUUAGCGCAAAGGUUGGAGAUGGUCUAAGUGACACUACCCCUAAAAUUCUCAUAGUGAAAAUCAGACGUAAUCAUCCCGAUUAUUCCUCAGAUAUAGUUGUAAAAUUCUUUUCUUUUCUUUUUUAGAGUUUUAUCUAUUCAAUAAUUUUUAUUUUUUGUGCUGUGGUGGUUGUCUGAUAAAGCUUUUGUGGUUCAGCAAAAAGUGUUGGCCACCCUUUUCUAAGCGCAUAUUUGGAUUCACUUGGGACCAACUUCUCUUCCG
This 18371-nucleotide long non-coding RNA is filed under the name Malus domestica (apple). RNAcentral describes it as "long non-coding RNA (MDOM_LNC015647)". Lineage: Eukaryota; Viridiplantae; Streptophyta; Magnoliopsida; Rosales; Rosaceae. The record is from RNAcentral.